Myzus persicae (green peach aphid) is the source of this 1843-nucleotide long non-coding RNA. RefSeq lists it as uncharacterized. The transcript has 3 exons. The record is from RefSeq and is a predicted model, not a curated record. Lineage: Eukaryota; Metazoa; Arthropoda; Insecta; Hemiptera; Aphididae.
UAGGUGAUACAACUAAAUAAUAAUAAACGAUAAUUCUUAUCUGACGGCCGAUGACGGGAGAGAUGACGCUUGGCAGGCCAGUCUGGAACGACGUCGGCGAUGAUCUCUCGAAGGGUGGUACACCGGAAUCGUGCCUCGCAACCUGAUUGGCCUGGACAACAUGGCCACGAUAGGUGCCUCGGGAGAAAGACGUACAAUGACGAAAAAAAAAUACACUCUAUAUACGUCCGCUCGAACAACAUUGACAAUAUAAACAACUAGAUAACCGACUAUCCCGGCACGAUACAGAAUUUUAAAGUUUUCCCGCCAUUUGCCUAAACGGCAAUGUUUGCAUUGUUAUGUGAUAACACGAUAUAGAUAACUAACAAACAGUGGGGGGUUACGGUUUUUUUUUUGUUAUAAAAUACUGUUAUCACAUUGAAAUAUGAACAUUGCCGUUUAGGACAAAUGGAUCUUCGCAGGAAAAAACUCCGGAUCCAUGACGUCAUCAUUUUUAAUUUUCGUUAUCAAUAUUGUUCUUAUCAAAUGUUAUAAUGACAAAAUACUCCUCGAUUUAUUUUUAUUUAUAAGGAGCUUUGGUUAGGUUAGGUAUUUGGAUUGAAAGGACCAGAUAGGUUUGAGUAGUAGCUUGUAGAUGAAAAUAAUUUUGUUAUGUAGUGUGACAUGUUUGUACGAAAGGAAGCAAAGCUGUCUUUGACGAUUGUUUAGGACUAGUCACUUAUAACAGAAUUAUAACUUUAUUUGGUUCAAUUUUUAGGGGGGGGCUAUAAUAAUCCAAUGUAAAUUGAUCCACAGGGCAUCUUCUCCACACCCCCUUUGAUUUUUUUUUGGAAGGGGUCUAUUAAAAUCUUUGGAGGGCUAAGCCUCUUAAAUCUCCUCCUAUGUCCGCCUAUACUACUAUCAUUGUAUUGUACCCAAUUAUUUUGAUAUUUAACACAAUGCAAUGUAGGUGCUGUAACAUAUAAUGUGUACCAUCAACAAUAAACAAGAAUGUUCUUUUAAAAAAAUUGCAACAAAAUAUUUAAAACAUUUAAGAUGUAUAGUAAUCAUCUUGAAACUAUGCAUGAACUAUGAAGUAAAUUUAGUACACAAUAAAUUUAAUUUUAACAGAAUUCAAGGUACGUGUAUAUAAGGUGUAGUAUAACAUUAUUUUUAAGACUUUUAUAUAUAACUGAUAAUCAUUAAAAAUUGUAAUAUAAGUCAAGGAAAAGGAAGGGUGUCAGUAUGUAAAACAAACAUCUCAAAAACACAGUGAAGAUAAACAAUAUAUAUAUUUCUUAUGUCAUAAAUCUUUUGAUUCAAGGACUACUAAUAAUGGUAUAAAAACUUGGAAAAGUGGAGGGUCUGUAAAAACUUGCCAUGUAUGCCCAUCAAAUACAGUAGUCCAUAAAGAGAGUUCAAAAAUUAGUGCUGAUCUUCUAUUAUAGUACUCAUCUUUGGCAUACUAUUUAAAUUGCAAUGCAGCGAAUCCCUAUUGAAGAAAGGAAUACAAUUGCAGGAAAGUUGGCAAUUUAUUGGUGUACCAGUCAACCGAACAUUAUAUGACAUUCGAGGAUAAGAAGUUGGGACAGAAUUAAAAAGGAUUCAUUUGAUUUAAAAAAAGACUUACACAACAUUAAAAGAGAUUAUUAUAUUUCAUACAAUACUAAAUCACAUAAAAAUGAUGCUGUCAGUGUGAAGUUGUCAGUCUAAAGUGGAAAAGACUUACUCAUCAUGUAGUUUUGAAUAUUUUUUACGCUGUGAUAUGUGUCAUAUUUGUAUACAUUCUUACAAAUGCACUUGCUUGAAUAAUGUAAUAAUCUAAUAAAUGUAUAAUAAAACAUUUGUAAACACAUUCAUGCAU